CGCUAAGCUUCCAUCCGGCCGAGGUCCCGCCUUUCUUACGCCGCGACGUCCCGACGCCACCGGGCAGGCACGCAAGGCCGGUUAAGCCCCGCCUUUUUCUUCCAACGGAACGGGUUAACCAAGUAUAAGCAAUUAAUUUAGAACAUUUUAUCAGGACUGCAAGUCUCUUACCAAGCUCUACAAAUAGACUCCAGAAAUGCAAGAUACACCUAACAUUCUGGAGGAGUCAUUAUUGGAGUCCAUUGUAAAGGAGUCACCAAUGAUAGCAAGUUUUCUUACUACAGGGUCUGGUGGUGAUGAAAGUAAUAUGGAAAAAUGUCAGGGAAGAACUAUGCCUUAUGUAGAGAAGAUGAUGACGACCUCUUUGGAAGCGGAAUUAAAAGAAAAAAUGAAGAGACUGAUAUUUAAAAAAUAUAUAUUGGCAAAAGAGGUAGGGGUAUUUGUUACGUAUGAUGGUAAGUGGUCUGGGUCCAUACAAGUAGCCCUCGACUUACAACUAAGUGCGCUUAGUGACCAUUUAAAGUUAUGUCACUGAAAAAAGUGACUUAUGACCAUUUUUCACACUUAUAACCAUUGCAGCACCCUCAAGAUCACAUGACCAAAAUUUGGAUGCUUGG
This is a long non-coding RNA of Ahaetulla prasina, 617 nucleotides long. RefSeq lists it as uncharacterized. NCBI's taxonomy places the organism in Eukaryota, Metazoa, Chordata, Lepidosauria, Squamata, Colubridae. The record is from RefSeq and is a predicted model, not a curated record. The transcript is spliced from 4 exons.